Molecule: ribosomal RNA, 116 nt
Filed under: Pteropus alecto (black flying fox)
Lineage: Eukaryota; Metazoa; Chordata; Mammalia; Chiroptera; Pteropodidae
Source: RNAcentral
GUCUACGGCCAUGCCACCCUGAACAAGCCUGAUGUCUGAUCUCCGAAGCUAAGCAGGGUCGGGCCUGGUUAGUACCUGGAUGGGAGACCACCUAGGAAGACCAGGUGCUGUAGGCA